UCUGCGCGCGAGCGGCGGCGAGAGCCGUCCGGGCGCUCUCCGCGUCCGGGUGGACCCGGGUCAGCACCAGCAGUUCGACCGCCCGCUCCGGG
Molecule: transfer RNA, 92 nt
Filed under: Micromonospora sagamiensis
Lineage: Bacteria; Bacillati; Actinomycetota; Actinomycetes; Micromonosporales; Micromonosporaceae
Description: tRNA-Glu
Source: RNAcentral